This is a long non-coding RNA of Glycine soja, 1957 nucleotides long. RefSeq lists it as uncharacterized. Lineage: Eukaryota; Viridiplantae; Streptophyta; Magnoliopsida; Fabales; Fabaceae. The transcript has 2 exons. The record is from RefSeq and is a predicted model, not a curated record.
UAGGGUUUUGGUGUGCCUAUAUAAGCCUAGCAGCGAAUAGGGUUAAGCCGCACCAAUUCAAAAUCAUCGACACUCUCUCGAAGUUAGGUUAGGGUUUAGGGUUUUCCUUCAAUUUUUCGCAAAAUGCUUCUCCGCACGAUGCCUCCCGGGCCUCUCUGAAAUCCCACAUGACGUGAACGCCCCGAUGCACGUGCGAAAUUUCCGCCGUUCGUGUUGCAAUUUAGCCCCAAUUUUUUCCACGGCUGAUCUGUGUCAAACUUCUUUUCGAACACCACCACGUGUUCUCUGAAAACGGAGCUAGUCCUAAAGGCGCAAAUUGAAACGCGGUCGUUUUCACUUUGGGGGGCGAGGGUGCUUCCUUUGUUCCUCCGAAAACAGCCAUCACAUAACUUACUACUCAAUUUAGGGUUUAUUUAUUUGUUUGUCUCGGAAUUUCUCGGCGAUGAUAUACCUUAUCCGCGCUUCUGAGUUUUCUCGAUGAAGCACAGUUGGUUAAAAUUUGGUUGAAUUUCUUGAUAUGAGCCCUGCUUUGUGAUUAAAACAUGUUUUUUAUGUUUAAUUGUUUUCAAUUUUACCUUACAUGUGGUUUGCUUUAUCAAUCAUUGGCUAUGAGGAUACAUAUAUUCAGCUUUAAUGCCAGUUCUGCUUCUGAAAAUUUGUGAUUGAAAGAGCUGUUUAAUAUCUCUGAGCCUCUCGAUGAUGUUAUAUUUAACAUUUUUGUUUUUUUUAAUGAAUUUUUAUUGAAAUAGGGUAUUAUUUUUAAUACUUGACAUUUAUUAUUAUGUGAUUUGGUAUUUGGUGUAUAUGAGAUUGCUGAUGAUGAUAUAAUCCACCUUGUUUGAGAUGUUGUGGAGCCAAGACCCUGUUUACAGGGAGAACCUCCUUGGUGAAGCUACAUUCAUAUGAUAUCAAUGGAUUUAACUGAGGCUUUAUGCUAUGAGAAAGUAUACCCUUGAUUUAACAAGGAAGCCUUAUACCACUAGGAGAAGUUGUCUACAUGGAUUAUAUGAUGUCAUUUAACACGGUUAAAACCCAAAGCUUCCGAUUAUUUAAUCAUACAUCUCCCUUGAUGAUUUCUUCCUAGUGAUAUUUUAGACUAAUAGUAUUUCUGAAUGACUUCGAAUUUUACAUAUAGUUUUUGUUUACCAUUUUGUAUCUAAGAAAUUAUUCCUUGUAGCUUGCUAGAAAGUUACCUAUUGUAAAUUCACCAAUGAUGUUACAAUCCAACUUGUUAGGUUGUAGUUGAUCCAAGACCCUGUUUUCAGGGAGAACCUACUUGGUGUUACUACAUUUCCAAUGACAGCGACGAUUGAACUGAGGUUACCUAGUAUUUAUAUAUUUGCUUGUGUUUAUGGUGUUUUGGUUAAAUUUUGAUUUUUUUUUUGAGUUUCACUAUACCCUUUUCUUGAAUAAUUGGAUCUGGGUCUGAAAAACUCAAAGAUUGAGUGUUGUCAUCAGCUUCAUCUCUUGUUUAACCCACGAGAUAGGAGUUAAAUAACAGCACUACAUAUGUUUUAGAAACAUUUUAUAACAUUUUGUGGAUGUCUUUGCAUUUUGCACUAUUUUGAAUGCUUGAUCUUGAAUGGUUAGUUAUUUUUUUUGUUAAAUUUAUUCUAUUGUAAGUGAGUUUUCUGUUGUCUUCUCAUGAUUACAAUUUGUGAAUUAGUAAUCAGUAUUCCUGUAUUAUUCAUAAUGUAUACUUUUAAUGAAAUUCCGAACUAAUGCUAUUGAUGUAAAUUACUUUGAAGUUUUCUGUGACUCAGCGGUGCAAGAGGAAGAGGUAUGUACAAGAGAUGUCGUGCAGUAUCUUUGUAGGGAUAAGUGAUUGAAGGUUGUGAUGUGAGCUUUGCCUUGUGGUUAACAAACCAUGGAGCCAUUAAGUCAAUUUAGAAAUUAAUAAAAAAUUGAAAUAAUGAUAUUAUGUAAAAAAAUUCAUAAGACAAUUUUUUUAUAUGUA